This is a long non-coding RNA of Trachemys scripta elegans, 3689 nucleotides long. RefSeq lists it as uncharacterized. NCBI's taxonomy places the organism in Eukaryota, Metazoa, Chordata, Testudines, Emydidae. The record is from RefSeq and is a predicted model, not a curated record. The transcript is spliced from 2 exons.
AGACCGAGAAGGAGAGAGUAUGAGAGGCAACUCCCAUCUUUUCAUGUGCUGUGUAUUUAUACCUGCCUACUGUAUUUGCCACUCCAUGCAGCUCUUGAAGUGGGUUCUAGCCCAUGAAAGCUUAUGCCCAAAUAAAGGUGCCACAAGGACUCCUUGUUUUUGCUGCUACAGACUAACAGCGCUACCCCUCUGAAAAGUGAGCGAGAAGGAGAGGGAGCGUGAAAGAACGAAGGAGAUGCAGGGGCAGAGAAGGGUGUGGAGGCGCCGCAGACAACAAGAAAGGGAGAGGAAAAGAGACCGUGUCGGUGGGGAAGAGAAAAGAGGCAGCUGCUGAGAGUUUCUGCAGCAUCUGAGGGAGGCGAAGCGACAUUAGAAAUCCCAGAAUCCAUCCAUAAAAGACAGUUGGCAGAGAAAAGUCACAGCCGCCGCCAGUGUGCUCCGAUAAUGAAGAUGUGUGGCUGACUUGUGGAAAGGAUUCACACAGAAGAUCACUUUUAGCCAGAACAUGAAAUUUCUGGGUUGUGCUUUGGGCCAUGAAAAGGAAGAGAGGCACUUACAUUGCAUUAAAAUCCCACAACCUCCUAAAACCUCUUACACCACCCCAGUACCGAUUGCUUAUAUUACGUGGGCCUUAGGCCUUUUCUAUACUUCAAAGGGUUUGCUGGUAUAGAUAUACUGGUAGAGCUGGUCAAACCCUUCCAGUGGAGAUGCAACUUAUAUCUGCGCAAAAGUUCUUUGGCUGGUAUAGCUUAAACAGUUCCCCAAAUGGAAUCAGCUAGGCUGGCAAAAGACCUUUUUUUGCAAUAUAACUGCAUCAACAUUAGGGCUUUUGCCAGUACAGCAAUGUCAAUUAGGGGUGUGGGUUUUUCACACUCCUAACUGACUCAGCUAUGCUGGUAAAACUUUCUAGUGUAGGUCUUAUUCUCCCCUGUUUUACACCCUGGGUAGCCAUUCACACCUGUGCAUAGUAGGUGUAAAAUGCUACUGUUCUGAUUCGGUCGUGUUUGGCAUUCAUUUUGUACUAGUGUGCACCGUUACACAGGAGGGCACAUCAAUUCAGCUGACCACAAACAGGAUGCUGACCUAAAAAGCAGAAGCUUACAACAGCUGUGCCUUUGCACAUCCUUUGGACCUAUAUCUGAUAAUAUAACAAUGCCUGUGUUGAAUGUGUACAGCUAAUGCCGCAGUGAAAUACCAGAGGCAUGUUUAACUGUUUCUCCCCUUCCUUGGAAUCCAUUUUGGAUCACACGUGGCUGGUGAGGGGAGAGGAAGAGAGGAAUGGGGACAGGGAAAUGGAGGUUCAUCUCCCCUCAACUGAAGCUAAACCUGCCCCACAGCAUGUAAUAUUCCCCAUAACGGUAAUGAGAUUAGUCAUAACCAGAACAGGUUAUUAGACAAACAUCUAUCAGGAAUGGUCUAGGUAUACUUGGUCCUGCCUCAGCACUGGGGGAAGGACUAGAUGACCUCUUAAGGUCCAUUCCAGCCCUACUUUUCCAUGAUUCUAUAACCCAACCAACCCAGCCCCUUCAGGCUGCAAUAUCUCGCAUAACAAUAAUAAAGAUGGCAGCAUGUCAUGCCCAUCUGCUGUGCUGCUAUUUCCUCUCUGGUCUGUUCCCUGGUUCCUUCCUCGAACAGGCCCUAGGACUCCAGGCUGAGGCUGCACUGUCUGUGCCCUAAAGCAGUCGGUGUCUGUCUUUCUGCCCCUUCAGUCUCUUCCGGCUCCUUCAGUCCCUCUGUCCCCACUCAGGUAAUAACACUCAAAAGCCCAUCCUGUACAGCCAUGGACUCUGUCCUUGGGGCAGAGCAGAGCUCAUGGUCAGGCUCCUUGUAGUAGGAGCAGGUUGAUGAUGAGUAUACAGCUGGCCGUUGGCAUCUUUUGCCUUGUUGUACCCAGUCUUCAAGUCUUUCCCUGCACUGAAUUCCCUGCCAGCAAAUCCCCUUCUCUGCCAGCCCCUUGGAGAUGUUAUUGCACAUGUAAUGAUUUUGGUUAUGCCUCCCCAAAUCAUGCUCUUUGCUGACCUCACACCAGAGUCCACCAGAACCUUGGUGUCAGCUUCAGCUACCAACACAUUGGAAAGAGGAAUUCCUGGAUGGCAUCUCUGCUCAAGUGCUGCUCAGGAACCAUGCAGAAAUGGAGCAGGCCGUGUGAAAUGUAGGGUUUAAAUGCUGACUGGGAGUCUAUACUGGCAGGUGACUGCUGGAGCAGAUGCAGGUAGUGAGUAGAAAGACAGAGAAAUAUGGCCCUGGGAAACUUGUGGGAAGGCACUGGAGGACUAUCAGCACUCAAGUUAUGUAGUCUGCAUCCACGCUGCAAAGUGGCCGGGUUACAGCCUGGGUUAAACCAGUACCCAGGCUCUAACCUAUAUCCCCAGCUGGGUCAGCUAGUCUGGCUUCGAAGCACCUCCAAACUUUGAUCUGAUAUCAUUGUGUGUGGACAGUAGACGGGGUAGGGGUAAUACACGGUAAAAUCGUGUAUUAACUCUGCAAUGAAGACAUACCCUACGUUAUUACACCAGGCAACAGGCAGUGGAGGAUCAGGCUCUGUAUCGUUACAAAAUUCUUGUCUUUAUUACAAGUUGCACGGGUUUUAUUAAAUCAGUUUUUAAAUCUAUUCUGUUAAACCAGUGAAACUUCCCAUGUGGAUCCUCUAAAAUUGCUUUAAACUUGACAUAUCAACUCAGCUAAAGUCAGUAAGGAAUCAACGUAAGCUAAAUCCAUCUAAGGCAGAUUUAAAGCACAGGUGUCCACACAAAGGUUUUCACUGGUUUAUCUGAAUCGAUUUUAAAAUCCACCUUUAGUUAAAACUGCAUAACUUGUAAUAUAGACAAGUUCACGGUCUGUAUAUAAGAAUUUCACCGGCCUUAUAAAUAUGAUGCAAAGCAAAAGUAAGCACUGUGUAAAAGAAAUCCUGAAGGAUGAAUGCAAAAGUAUUAUACACAUAGAAUAAUACAACAAGAACUGAAAUAUUUUCCAAUAUUUUGAUACUAAUCUUUAUUUAACAAAGAUAAUCCCAUAUUAAACAAAACAUAUAAAACUCUCAGUCUUCAUCUCUCUCCCUGUUUGACAGUUUAUUAUUUGGACUAAAAGAUUAUUAUAAUCAUUUAUUUGUGACAUCACACAAACAUCCCCGUGACAAUUGAAAUAAUAUUUCAUGGAGGAUUAAGGGAAUUUGCAGAAAGAGUGAGUGUUUCAUGUGGGAACAAUCAAAUGUUCACUCCAGGCAUCUCUAUUUUUUGAUCUUAACUUUUUUGUGCCAGUAUCUUUGAUUUGUUUUACAAAUUUAACAUAGACGGGUGGGAUGGGAAGCCACUGAAAAAUCUAAAAUUAUAAUGUGACCAGAUGGAAAUAUUAACUUUAGAAAGUCUGAGCACUAAAACUAACUGUUCUGGGUAUUUGCCUCUUAAAGUGCUUACAUAAAUCAUAUUAGUCUUUAUGAGGAUUAUUUUUUAAAUACACAGACUUUCAGAAGUAUCUUCAUCUCAGAAGGUAGCACAUAGAGCAGACAAGCAUGUAACUGUAAAGUGGGGACUCCAGAGUUCAAAUUCCAGCUCUGACAUUGGCUUGAUGGGUGGUGUUAGACAACUCAGUUGUGGCCAAAUUUUCAGAAAUAGCCUCUGCUUAGUUUUAGACUGGCUGAUUUUACAGAAGGGCUGAGCACCCAGAACUCAAAUUAAAGCAGGCUUGCCAAC